RNAcentral lists this long non-coding RNA (577 nucleotides) under Brassica napus (rape). RNAcentral's name for it is "long non-coding RNA (BNAP_LNC010570)". Lineage: Eukaryota; Viridiplantae; Streptophyta; Magnoliopsida; Brassicales; Brassicaceae. The record is from RNAcentral.
UGAUCUUUUGACUUUUUGCCUAACUGAAAUGAUACAAAACUGUAAGGUGUUUGAUUUCAUUGAGUAAAUUGUAUUCGUAAGCAUACCCCUUGUUAGUGUCACUAGAAAAGUAGAAAGUAUGCUCGAUGUCAUUAGGUUAUCAAACAAAUUAAAACACACUCAAGAAAAUGCAAAAGAAAAAAUAUUGUAUAUAAAAAAACUUGGAAUUAACUCUGUUUUUUUUUCACAACCUAGGAGGUGAUCGACUCUUGAACACACUUGAACACAGUGCCGGCUCUUGCCCAUGGCAAUAUGAAUAUUUGCCAUGGAUCCAUAAUUUUUUGUGUUGUUUUAAAGGUCCAUUUAAUCUGUUAAAUUAUCAAAAAUGCCUAUAAUUAACCAAACCUAAUUUACUUACUGAAAAAACAAAAUAAGAAAAUAAGAAAUAUGUAUUUUCACAAUUAGUUUUGGAAUAUUUUUUUCUAUUUGUUUCGGAUCUUAGAGAUCAAAUUAAAAAAAAUGUAGCGAAAAAAAAAUAUAGAGAAUAUUUAUAAAAGGGUCCUUGAAAUAUGAACCAUUUUAUAAAUAUUUUCUAUAU